Eurytemora carolleeae is the source of this 315-nucleotide long non-coding RNA. RefSeq lists it as uncharacterized. NCBI's taxonomy places the organism in Eukaryota, Metazoa, Arthropoda, Copepoda, Calanoida, Temoridae. The transcript has 3 exons. The record is from RefSeq and is a predicted model, not a curated record.
UUACGAGAUGUUCUUGAUCUGUAGAUAAGGAGACAUUAGCCUACAGCCAACAAAUUUUGCCACAACUUCGUACAUGUUGAGAGAAGUUUUACGGAUGGGUUCUGCAGCAGAAGUUUGGCGAGUUCCAGAAGAGUAUGGGGAGCCAGUUGUUCCGUGUGUCAAAGGUUUGCGAGACCGCCAACAAGCUGACAAAGUCGGAGACUAGAACUGAACGCUAGCGGAAAGAAAGAGGAAGCUGCGGAAUCCUAUCCAGUCUUGUCGAACAGAACCAAUGAACAAGCCGAACGCUAACCAUUAACAGCUGAGAAGAUCUCA